Molecule: ribosomal RNA, 351 nt
Filed under: uncultured bacterium
Lineage: Bacteria
Description: bacterial SSU rRNA
Rfam family: Bacterial small subunit ribosomal RNA
Source: RNAcentral
GACGAACGCUGGCGGCGUGCUUAACACAUGCAAGUCGAGCGGUAAGGCCCUUUCGGGGGUACACGAGCGGCGAACGGGUGAGUAACACGUGGGUGACCUGCCCUCAGCUCUGGGAUAAGCCUGGGAAACCGGGUCUAAUACCGGAUAUGACUCCAUGACGCAUGUUGUGGGGUGGAAAGCCUUGUGCGGCUGAGGAUGGGCCCGCGGCCUAUCAGCUUGUUGGUGGGGUGAUGGCCUACCAAGGCGACGACGGGUAGCCGGCCUGAGAGGCGACCGGCCACACUGGGACUGAGACACGGCCCAGACUCCUACGGGAGGCAGCAGUGGGGAAUCUUGGACAAUGGGCGAAAG